AACGAACGCUGGCGGCAGGCCUAACACAUGCAAGUCGAACGCCGUAGCAAUACGGAGUGGCAGACGGGUGAGUAACGCGUGGGAACAUACCCCUCGGUUCGGAAUAACUCAGGGAAACUUAGAGCUAAUACCGGAUACGUCCGAGGUUUUAAUCGACCUUGGAGAAAGAUUUAUCGCCGGAGGAUUGGCCCGCGUCUGAUUAGCUUGUUGGUGAGGUAAUGGCUCACCAAGGCGACGANCAGUAGCUGGUCUGAGAGGAUGAUCAGCCACACUGGAACUGAGACACGGUCCAGACUUCCACGGAAGGCAGCAGUGGGG
RNAcentral lists this ribosomal RNA (318 nucleotides) under uncultured bacterium. RNAcentral describes it as "bacterial SSU rRNA". It matches the Rfam family "Bacterial small subunit ribosomal RNA", at positions 29 to 359 of the family's 1533-position model. The record is from RNAcentral.